GUGAUUCUCCUGCCUCAGCCUCCCGAGUUGCUGGAAUUACAGGAGGGCUCUGAGAGAUUUCAUUUCUGUCCUGCUGAUGAAGUCUACGUUCAUUCAGGGCCUGCUGUGGAAGACCAGCCCCAAAGGUGUGUUAUACUAAGUUGGCAGAUUCUAUCUUCAUCUAAUUCCUAAGUUAGACUUUUCUUACUUUUCUUACUCCUAGAGUUCUGUAUAGCAUGGCCUUCUUAUUUCUUGUAACAUUGCUUUUGGGAAUAAAAUGUUUGAAAAAA
Macaca mulatta (Rhesus monkey) is the source of this 269-nucleotide non-coding RNA. NCBI's taxonomy places the organism in Eukaryota, Metazoa, Chordata, Mammalia, Primates, Cercopithecidae. The record is from RefSeq and is a predicted model, not a curated record.